GGUGCAUUUUCAAGUUUUAUUUGGGCUUUAUUUCUUCUUAGAUGCUUGAGGUGUUCUUGCAGAUACAAUUAACAUAGGACGUUAGGUUCUGUUAGGUUCUCAUGCACUGAAAGACAAUUUCUAAUAACACUGCGUAUGUUGGGAUACAAUAAAAAUUUCAAAAGCCAUGUGUAAUUUCAGAAAACUUAAUACCAGUCAUGAAAGACAUUUUCAACAUAAAAUUUAGGCACUCUAUACUUGGGAAUAGCCACAAAAUAUUCCAACAAGAGUUAAUGCACUUUGUGAUUACCUCUACUAAAAGAUAAUUCUC
RNAcentral lists this long non-coding RNA (310 nucleotides) under Bos taurus (domestic cattle). RNAcentral's name for it is "long non-coding RNA NONBTAT018756". Lineage: Eukaryota; Metazoa; Chordata; Mammalia; Artiodactyla; Bovidae. The record is from RNAcentral.